CAGGCGCGGUGGCUCACGCCUGUAAUCCCAGCACUUUGGGAGACGAAGAUGGGCAGAUCUUCAUCAAGGUCAAGAGAUCGAGACCAUCCUGGCCAAUAUGGUGAAACCCCGUCUCUACUAAAAAUACAAAAAUUAUCUGGGCGUGGUGGCACGCGCCUGUAGUCCCAGCUACUCGGGAGGCUGAGGCACGAGAAUCACUUGAACCCGGGAGGAAGAGGUUGCAGUGAGCCAAGAUCACACCACUGCACUCCAGCCCGUACGAUACAGUGAGACCCCGUCUCAAAAAAAAAAAAAAGAAAAAGUUGCAUGUAGGCCAAGUGCAGUGGCUCACACCUGUAAUCUCAGCACUUUGGGAGGCCCAGGUGGGCAGACGACCUGAGGUCAGGAGUUCAAGACCAGCCUGGGCAACAUGGUGAAACCUCAUCUCUACAAUUAAUAAAAAUACAGGCCGGGCACGGUGGCUCAAGCCUGUAAUCCCAGCACUUUGGGAGGCUGAGGCGGGCAAAUCGUUUGAGGCCAGGAGUUCAAAACCAGCCUGGCCAACAUGGCAAAACUCAUCUCUACUAAAAAUACAAAGAAAAUAGCCAGGCAUGGUGGCACACACCUGUAAUCCCAGCUACUCAGGAGGCUGAGGCAUGAGAAUUGCUUGAACCUGGAAGGCAGACAUUGGAGUGAGCUGAGAUCUUCCCACUGCACUCCAGCCUGGGUGACAUAGCUAGACUGUCUCAAAAAAAAAAAAAAAAAGAAUGAACACUUAAAUAUUUGUGGCAGAUAGAGGUGUUAUUUGCAUAUGGAAGAAAAUUGCUUUAGAAAUGAAAUUUCAGAUUACUGAAACUAAAGAGAAAGUAUCUCUUCUUAUCAUGGUACCAAGCUUGAGGGUGCAUAAGUCACCUAUAGACGUAGAGAUUGUAGUAUAGGACCUGGGAAUAUUACAUUAUUUGCUCCCAUGUUUACUGUUUUGUUCUAAGCCUUUAGCACAGCAUUCAAAACAAGUUGAGCACUCAGUAAACAUUUGCUGACUCAGUACUUGGAGAACCUAGGUAGAGUAGAAUGAUGGGAAUCAAAAGGAAAACAGUAUUCUGUUAGAGAUCAGCAAUAUCUUACACUAGUAGAGGGAUCUGUGAGAAAAAGAAUCAAGACCAUUGAAUGUGUGGCGGCUUAUAGCAUUUGACAUUCUGAUCUGUGCACGUGAUGAGAAAAAAAGUCUGAUUACAGAACAGGGAAGGAGAGAAAUAAGCAUUGAGUUUCAUUUUUUGUUUGUUUUUGAGACAGGUUCUCACUGUUACCCAGCCUGGAGUGCAGUGGUACAAUUGUAGCUCACUGCAGCCUGGACCUCCUGGGAUCAAGGGAUUCCCCCAACCUCAGCCUCCCAAGUAGCUGGGACUAUAGAAAUGCAACACCAUGCCCAGAUAAUUUAAUUUUUUUUUUUUUUUUUUUUUUUUUCUAAUUUUUUUUUUUUUUUUUUUUUUUUUUUUUUUUUUUUUUUGAGACAG
This 1493-nucleotide long non-coding RNA is filed under the name Homo sapiens (human). Its description in RNAcentral is "HSALNT0334275". The record is from RNAcentral. Lineage: Eukaryota; Metazoa; Chordata; Mammalia; Primates; Hominidae.